Molecule: ribosomal RNA, 347 nt
Filed under: Selenomonas sp.
Lineage: Bacteria; Bacillati; Bacillota; Negativicutes; Selenomonadales; Selenomonadaceae
Description: bacterial SSU rRNA
Rfam family: Bacterial small subunit ribosomal RNA
Source: RNAcentral
UUUAUGGAGAGUUUGAUCCUGGCUCAGGACGAACGCUGGCGGCGUGCUUAACACAUGCAAGUCGAACGGGAUGAUCUUAAAGCUUGCUUUUAGAGAAUCUAGUGGCAAACGGGUGAGUAACACGUAGACAACCUGCCGACAGGAUGGGGACAACAUUCCGAAAGGAAUGCUAAUACCGAAUGAAGUCAGAGGAGGGCAUCCUCCUCUGAUGAAAGAUGGCCUCUGAAUAUGCUAUCACCUGUUGAUGGGUCUGCGUCUGAUUAGCUAGUUGGUGAGGUAACGGCUCACCAAGGCGACGAUCAGUAGCCGGUCUGAGAGGAUGAACGGCCACAUUGGGACUGAGACAC